AAUUUUCGUUACAUUUGAUCUGUAAGAAUUCAAUUUUGAAUCAUUUUCAUUUCAAAUUGAUUCACACACAUAGCAGACGCCAACACAUCAAGCGUCAUCAAUAGCGUGGUCUAUGGUGCAAUGCUAUCGCUGGAGUAAGUUGUUUACCUUCAAUUCGGGUAGCGUCAUGAUUGGACUACCCUGAUGGCGUCAUGAUCGCUGCUGAUUGCCUUUCAAAUAGGUUUUCAGCAUUCUGCUUACACCUUUGGCAUAGAGUCACAUAUUUCACAAUCCAACAUCAAUUGGUAGCAACAGCAGCCCUUCUCUCCAUCAUCCAGAAGGGUCUGAGAUCAGUGUUGGAGAUGAUGGUUCGGAACAACCCAUGGAAAGCUUAUCACUCAUUGAUGCUGUGAUGCCUGAUGUUGUUGCAAGUCGUCAACAGCAAACACAGAACAAUCAGAAACCACAAGUGGUAAAGACAGAACCACCAAAUUCCAAUGGAGAUGAACCCA
RNAcentral lists this long non-coding RNA (491 nucleotides) under Daphnia magna. RNAcentral describes it as "uncharacterized LOC123477509". The record is from RNAcentral. Lineage: Eukaryota; Metazoa; Arthropoda; Branchiopoda; Diplostraca; Daphniidae.